RNAcentral lists this ribosomal RNA (492 nucleotides) under uncultured bacterium. Its description in RNAcentral is "partial 16S ribosomal RNA". It matches the Rfam family "Bacterial small subunit ribosomal RNA", at positions 29 to 507 of the family's 1533-position model. The record is from RNAcentral.
AGUGAACGCUGGCGGUAGGCCUAACACAUGCAAGUCGAACGGCAGCACAGUAAGAGCUUGCUCUUACGGGUGGCGAGUGGCGGACGGGUGAGGAAUACAUCGGAAUCUACUUUUUCGUGGGGGAUAACGUAGGGAAACUUACGCUAAUACCGCAUACGACCUACGGGUGAAAGCAGGGGAUCUUCGGACCUUGCGCGAUUGAAUGAGCCGAUGUCGGAUUAGCUAGUUGGCGGGGUAAAGGCCCACCAAGGCGACGAUCCGUAGCUGGUCUGAGAGGAUGAUCAGCCACACUGGAACUGAGACACGGUCCAGACUCCUACGGGAGGCAGCAGUGGGGAAUAUUGGACAAUGGGCGCAAGCCUGAUCCAGCCAUACCGCGUGUGUGAAGAAGGCCUUCGGGUUGUAAAGCCCUUUUGUUGGGAAAGAAAAGCAGCAGGUUAAUACCCCGCUGUUCUGACGGUACCCAAAGAAUAAGCACCGGCUAACUUCAUG